RNAcentral lists this ribosomal RNA (495 nucleotides) under uncultured bacterium. RNAcentral's name for it is "bacterial SSU rRNA". It matches the Rfam family "Bacterial small subunit ribosomal RNA", at positions 903 to 1397 of the family's 1533-position model. The record is from RNAcentral.
AAAUGAAUAGACGGGGACCCGCACAAGCGGUGGAUUAUGUGGAUUAAUUCGAUGCAACGCGAAAAACCUUACCUACCCUUGACAUGCCAGGAACUUUCCAGAGAUGGAUUGGUGCCCGAAAGGGAACCUGGACACAGGUGCUGCAUGGCUGUCGUCAGCUCGUGUCGUGAGAUGUUGGGUUAAGUCCCGCAACGAGCGCAACCCUUGCCAUUAAUUGCCAUCAUUUAGUUGGGCACUUUAAUGGGACUGCCGGUGAUAAACCGGAGGAAGGUGGGGAUGACGUCAAGUCCUCAUGGCCCUUAUGGGUAGGGCUUCACACGUAAUACAAUGGUCGAUACAGAGGGUUGCCAAGCCGCGAGGUGGAGCCAAUCCCAGAAAGUCGAUCGUAGUCCGGAUUGUUCUCUGCAACUCGAGAGCAUGAAGUCGGAAUCGCUAGUAAUCGCGGAUCAGAAUGUCGCGGUGAAUACGUUCCCGGGUCUUGUACACACCGCCCGU